UACGUAUGGAGCAAGCGUUAUCCGGAUUUACUGGGUGUAAAGGGAGCGCAGGCGGUCUGGCAAGUCUGAUGUGAAAGGCCGGGGCUCAACUCCGGGACUGCAUUGGAAACUGUCAGACUGGAGUGUCGGAGAGGUAAGCGGAAUUCCUAGUGUAGCGGUGAAAUGCGUAGAUAUAUGGAGGAACACCGGUGGCGAAAGCGGCUCUCUGGCCUGUAACUGACACUGAGGCUCGAAAGCGUGGGGAGCAAACAGG
Molecule: ribosomal RNA, 253 nt
Filed under: uncultured bacterium
Lineage: Bacteria
Description: partial 16S ribosomal RNA
Rfam family: Bacterial small subunit ribosomal RNA
Source: RNAcentral